RNAcentral lists this unclassified non-coding RNA (22 nucleotides) under Mus musculus (house mouse). RNAcentral's name for it is "oocyte_clustered_small_RNA88". Lineage: Eukaryota; Metazoa; Chordata; Mammalia; Rodentia; Muridae. The record is from RNAcentral.
CAGAAAUCUGCCUGCCAUUGCC